This 2930-nucleotide ribosomal RNA is filed under the name Escherichia coli. Its description in RNAcentral is "23S ribosomal RNA". It matches the Rfam family "Bacterial large subunit ribosomal RNA". The record is from RNAcentral. Lineage: Bacteria; Pseudomonadati; Pseudomonadota; Gammaproteobacteria; Enterobacterales; Enterobacteriaceae.
GGGUUGUGAGGUUAAGCGACUAAGCGUACACGGUGGAUGCCCUGGCAGUCAGAGGCGAUGAAGGACGUGCUAAUCUGCGAUAAGCGUCGGUAAGGUGAUAUGAACCGUUAUAACCGGCGAUUUCCGAAUGGGGAAACCCAGUGUGUUUCGACACACUAUCAUUAACUGAAUCCAUAGGUUAAUGAGGCGAACCGGGGGAACUGAAACAUCUAAGUACCCCGAGGAAAAGAAAUCAACCGAGAUUCCCCCAGUAGCGGCGAGCGAACGGGGAGCAGCCCAGAGCCUGAAUCAGUGUGUGUGUUAGUGGAAGCGUCUGGAAAGGCGCGCGAUACAGGGUGACAGCCCCGUACACAAAAAUGCACAUGCUGUGAGCUCGAUGAGUAGGGCGGGACACGUGGUAUCCUGUCUGAAUAUGGGGGGACCAUCCUCCAAGGCUAAAUACUCCUGACUGACCGAUAGUGAACCAGUACCGUGAGGGAAAGGCGAAAAGAACCCCGGCGAGGGGAGUGAAAAAGAACCUGAAACCGUGUACGUACAAGCAGUGGGAGCACGCUUAGGCGUGUGACUGCGUACCUUUUGUAUAAUGGGUCAGCGACUUAUAUUCUGUAGCAAGGUUAACCGAAUAGGGGAGCCGAAGGGAAACCGAGUCUUAACUGGGCGUUAAGUUGCAGGGUAUAGACCCGAAACCCGGUGAUCUAGCCAUGGGCAGGUUGAAGGUUGGGUAACACUAACUGGAGGACCGAACCGACUAAUGUUGAAAAAUUAGCGGAUGACUUGUGGCUGGGGGUGAAAGGCCAAUCAAACCGGGAGAUAGCUGGUUCUCCCCGAAAGCUAUUUAGGUAGCGCCUCGUGAAUUCAUCUCCGGGGGUAGAGCACUGUUUCGGCAAGGGGGUCAUCCCGACUUACCAACCCGAUGCAAACUGCGAAUACCGGAGAAUGUUAUCACGGGAGACACACGGCGGGUGCUAACGUCCGUCGUGAAGAGGGAAACAACCCAGACCGCCAGCUAAGGUCCCAAAGUCAUGGUUAAGUGGGAAACGAUGUGGGAAGGCCCAGACAGCCAGGAUGUUGGCUUAGAAGCAGCCAUCAUUUAAAGAAAGCGUAAUAGCUCACUGGUCGAGUCGGCCUGCGCGGAAGAUGUAACGGGGCUAAACCAUGCACCGAAGCUGCGGCAGCGACACUAUGUGUUGUUGGGUAGGGGAGCGUUCUGUAAGCCUGUGAAGGUGUACUGUGAGGUAUGCUGGAGGUAUCAGAAGUGCGAAUGCUGACAUAAGUAACGAUAAAGCGGGUGAAAAGCCCGCUCGCCGGAAGACCAAGGGUUCCUGUCCAACGUUAAUCGGGGCAGGGUGAGUCGACCCCUAAGGCGAGGCCGAAAGGCGUAGUCGAUGGGAAACAGGUUAAUAUUCCUGUACUUGGUGUUACUGCGAAGGGGGGACGGAGAAGGCUAUGUUGGCCGGGCGACGGUUGUCCCGGUUUAAGCGUGUAGGCUGGUUUUCCAGGCAAAUCCGGAAAAUCAAGGCUGAGGCGUGAUGACGAGGCACUACGGUGCUGAAGCAACAAAUGCCCUGCUUCCAGGAAAAGCCUCUAAGCAUCAGGUAACAUCAAAUCGUACCCCAAACCGACACAGGUGGUCAGGUAGAGAAUACCAAGGCGCUUGAGAGAACUCGGGUGAAGGAACUAGGCAAAAUGGUGCCGUAACUUCGGGAGAAGGCACGCUGAUAUGUAGGUGAAGUCCCUCGCGGAUGGAGCUGAAAUCAGUCGAAGAUACCAGCUGGCUGCAACUGUUUAUUAAAAACACAGCACUGUGCAAACACGAAAGUGGACGUAUACGGUGUGACGCCUGCCCGGUGCCGGAAGGUUAAUUGAUGGGGUUAGCGCAAGCGAAGCUCUUGAUCGAAGCCCCGGUAAACGGCGGCCGUAACUAUAACGGUCCUAAGGUAGCGAAAUUCCUUGUCGGGUAAGUUCCGACCUGCACGAAUGGCGUAAUGAUGGCCAGGCUGUCUCCACCCGAGACUCAGUGAAAUUGAACUCGCUGUGAAGAUGCAGUGUACCCGCGGCAAGACGGAAAGACCCCGUGAACCUUUACUAUAGCUUGACACUGAACAUUGAGCCUUGAUGUGUAGGAUAGGUGGGAGGCUUUGAAGUGUGGACGCCAGUCUGCAUGGAGCCGACCUUGAAAUACCACCCUUUAAUGUUUGAUGUUCUAACGUUGACCCGUAAUCCGGGUUGCGGACAGUGUCUGGUGGGUAGUUUGACUGGGGCGGUCUCCUCCUAAAGAGUAACGGAGGAGCACGAAGGUUGGCUAAUCCUGGUCGGACAUCAGGAGGUUAGUGCAAUGGCAUAAGCCAGCUUGACUGCGAGCGUGACGGCGCGAGCAGGUGCGAAAGCAGGUCAUAGUGAUCCGGUGGUUCUGAAUGGAAGGGCCAUCGCUCAACGGAUAAAAGGUACUCCGGGGAUAACAGGCUGAUACCGCCCAAGAGUUCAUAUCGACGGCGGUGUUUGGCACCUCGAUGUCGGCUCAUCACAUCCUGGGGCUGAAGUAGGUCCCAAGGGUAUGGCUGUUCGCCAUUUAAAGUGGUACGCGAGCUGGGUUUAGAACGUCGUGAGACAGUUCGGUCCCUAUCUGCCGUGGGCGCUGGAGAACUGAGGGGGGCUGCUCCUAGUACGAGAGGACCGGAGUGGACGCAUCACUGGUGUUCGGGUUGUCAUGCCAAUGGCACUGCCCGGUAGCUAAAUGCGGAAGAGAUAAGUGCUGAAAGCAUCUAAGCACGAAACUUGCCCCGAGAUGAGUUCUCCCUGACUCCUUGAGAGUCCUGAAGGAACGUUGAAGACGACGACGUUGAUAGGCCGGGUGUGUAAGCGCAGCGAUGCGUUGAGCUAACCGGUACUAAUGAACCGUGAGGCUUAACCUUACAACGCCGAAGGUGUUU